This 430-nucleotide unclassified non-coding RNA is filed under the name soil metagenome. Its description in RNAcentral is "partial contains 5.8S ribosomal RNA, internal transcribed spacer 2, and large subunit ribosomal RNA". The stretch from base 1 to 120 matches the Rfam family "5.8S ribosomal RNA", at positions 35 to 154 of the family's 154-position model. The record is from RNAcentral.
GAUGAAGAACGCAGCGAAAUGCGAUACGUAAGGUGAAUUGCAGAAUUCAGUGAAUCAUCGAAUCUUUGAACGCAUAUUGCGCUCUCUGGUAUUCCGGAGAGCAUGCUUGUUUGAGUAUCAGUAAACACCUCAACUCCCUUUUCUUUUUUGAAAUUGGAGCUGGACUUGAGUGAUCCCAACGCUUUCUUCCAAGAAAGUGGCGGGUUGCUUGAAAUGCAGGUGCAGCUGAACUUUUCUCUGAGCUAUAAGCAUAUCUAUUUAGUCUGCCUAAAAAACAGAUUAUUACCUUUGCUGCAGCUAACAUAAAGGAGACUAGUUCUUGUGCUGACUGAUGCAGGAUUCACAGAGACAGCUUCGGCUGACUUUGUAAACUCGAUCUCAAAUCAAGUAAGACUACCCGCUGAACUUAAGCAUAUCAAUAAGCGGAGGA